GCUCUGAUCUUGACGUCACUUCUGGAGCGACGACUUUCUCCCCUAAGUCUCCUUAACCCGGGACAGCGGAGAAGAUGGCGACCCUGAGCGGAGCUCGCGUGCUGAGGCGGGCGCUGACGGUGUCCCCGAGCCUCGGGGCCUGGAGGGGCCUGAUCACCACGGCUGCAGCCAGGGCCUCCCCGCGGAGCGCGGUGGAUGAUGUGAAGGUGGAGGGUGCGUUCCCCGUCACCAUGCUGCCCGGUGAUGGCGUGGGGCCUGAACUCAUGCAUGCUGUCAAAGAAGUUUUCAAGGCAGCCAACGUCCCAGUGGAGUUCCAGGAGCAUCACCUGAGUGAGGUGCAGAACAUGGCCUCAGAAGAAAAACUGGAGCAGGUGCUGAGCUCCAUGAAGGAAAACAAGGUUGCAAUCAUUGGAAAAAUUCACACCCCAAUGGACACAGAGUACAAGGGGGACUUGGCCUCUUAUGACAUGCGGCUCAGGCGUAAGCUGGACCUGUUUGCCAACGUCGUUCAUGUCAAGAGCCUCCCCGGGUACAAGACUCGACACAAUAACCUGGACUUGGUGAUCAUCCGGGAGCAGACCGAGGGAGAAUACAGCUCCCUGGAGCACGAGAGUGCCAGGGGUGUGAUCGAGUGCUUGAAAAUCGUCACUCGGGCCAAGUCCCAGCGGAUCGCCAAGUUUGCCUUCGACUACGCCACCAAGAAGGGUCGAGGGAAGGUCACGGCAGUGCACAAGGCCAACAUUAUGAAGCUGGGCGACGGGCUCUUCCUGCAGUGUUGUGAGGAGGUGGCCGAGCUGUACCCCAAGAUCAAGUUUGAGACCAUGAUCAUAGACAACUGCUGUAUGCAGCUGGUGCAGAACCCAUACCAGUUUGAUGUGCUUGUGAUGCCCAAUCUCUAUGGAAACAUCAUCGACAACCUGGCAGCAGGGCUGGUGGGGGGUGCCGGCGUGGUUCCCGGUGAGAGCUACAGCGCCGAGUACGCUGUUUUUGAAACGGGCGCAAGGCACCCAUUUGCCCAGGCUGUGGGCAGGAACAUUGCCAAUCCAACUGCCAUGCUGCUGUCUUCCAGCAAUAUGCUGAGGCACCUCAACCUGGAAUAUCACUCCAACAUGAUUGCCGAGGCCGUGAAGAAGGUCAUCAAAGCUGGCAAAGUUCGGACUCGCGACAUGGGCGGCUACAGCACCACGUCUGACUUCAUCAAGUCUGUCAUCAGCCACCUGCACCCCCCUCAUGGGGGCUAGAACCUUCCCAUUCCCUUACCUUGUCUUUGACUAGCGCCCUGGACAACUCCCCCCAUCCCCAUAAAUCGGACCAUGGAGGAAGCUGCAUCAGCCCCCAUUGCAUUGCUUGGGACCAGAUCUCUCCAGCUGUUUGUGCUUUUUGUCUAAAUAAAAACUGUGGACCAGACUCAGGAUGCUUUGUGCUCCCCCUUGGCUUCUCCCUGUAAUCCACAGGCUAUGGGGGAAGGUUCGCACCCCGGACAUGGGCGGCUAUGCCACCUGCCGGGACUUCACCCAGGCCAUCAUUAGUAGCCUGCCUACCACACAAGCCUCCUGACAAAACUGGGAGAAGAAAUAAAUUGAGCCAAGGUAGCA
Molecule: RNA transcript, 1595 nt
Organism: Antechinus flavipes (yellow-footed antechinus)
Lineage: Eukaryota; Metazoa; Chordata; Mammalia; Dasyuromorphia; Dasyuridae
Gene: IDH3B
Gene name: isocitrate dehydrogenase (NAD(+)) 3 non-catalytic subunit beta
Exons: 13
Source: RefSeq, a predicted model, not a curated record